ACUAUGAUGUUUAGCCGGGUCGAGAGACUGAACGGCCACAUUGGGACUGAGAUACGGCCCAAACUCCUACGGGAGGCAGCAGUAGGGAAUAUUCCACAAUGAGCGAAAGCAUGAUGGAGCGACACAGCGUGCACGAUGAAGGUCUUCGGAUUGUAAAGUGCUGUUAUAAGGGAAGAACAUUUGCAAUAGGAAAUGAUUGCAGACUGACGGUACCUUGUCAGAAAGCGAUGGCUAACUAUGUGCCAGCAGCCGCGGUAAUACAUAGGUCGCAAGCGUUAUCCGGAAUUAUUGGGCGUAAAGCGUUCGUAGGCUGUUUGUUAAGUCUGG
This 327-nucleotide ribosomal RNA is filed under the name Gardnerella vaginalis. Its description in RNAcentral is "bacterial SSU rRNA". It matches the Rfam family "Bacterial small subunit ribosomal RNA", at positions 273 to 592 of the family's 1533-position model. The record is from RNAcentral. Lineage: Bacteria; Bacillati; Actinomycetota; Actinomycetes; Bifidobacteriales; Bifidobacteriaceae.